CAAGAAACAAUUCACUCUAUCCAUUGUUCUAACAAACUUGUUAUCCAUGUUUUCAUUAAGCCAAAGGCUCCUCUGCGCUGAAAAUCGCCUCUAGCGGUGGCGGAGGUGAAAACCUCCAAAUAAACAUAUCAAAUUGCUCUCCUUGACUCAUUCUUCCAUAAUCCACAAUCUUCUUCCUCUAAUAUUUAAUCAAAUUCUCAAACUGCACCGAAAUACCUAUUAACCCUAAUUCAAAAAUUCAAAAAUUAAAUGUUAUGAAUGAGGAAUCAAAGCCUACAAUAUUAAGGCUUUGAUUCCUCAGGUUCGAAGCUACAUUACUACAACUUGAAUCAAGGAAAAAUGUAAGAAGAAUGAAGAAAUCAUACCUACAAGGAUGAGAAGUUCCCCUGUCUUGUAGGGAUUGAUGAAGAUGAGGUUGAACAAAGAACAAGCUCCACUGAGAGCAUGUAUGCGUAUGUGGAUAAGAAAAGACAAGGCUAGACAUGAUUUUAAGUCAUGACAUGAGGACACUUAAGGCAUAUGAAGAAGACUUGGAAGGCUUGCUAUUGAUGAAUAGGAUUAUGGUUUAGGAAUAGAACUAGGCAGUUGACUUUGGUCAACUGGUUGACCAUUAAGUUAACAGUUGACCAAAGUCAACUAUUAGAUCAAAAGUGUGGCUUUUUGUAUAUUCUGAUUUUGAAUUUUUUGCAAUGUAAAUGGCUUUGUUUUUGAAAUGAAUGGCUUGUAUCUCAAUAAAGAUUAAAUUUCCCUCCAAAA
Molecule: long non-coding RNA, 756 nt
Organism: Lathyrus oleraceus (garden pea)
Lineage: Eukaryota; Viridiplantae; Streptophyta; Magnoliopsida; Fabales; Fabaceae
Exons: 2
Source: RefSeq, a predicted model, not a curated record